GUGUCAGCAGCCGCGGUAAUACGUACGAGGCGAGCGUUAUCCGGAAUUACUGGGCGUAAAGCGCGCGCAGGUGGCCGAUUAAGUCGGACGUGAAAUCUCCCGGCCUAACUGGGAGGGGUCGUUCGAGACUGGCCGGCUUGAGGACUGCAGAGGUGGGUGGAAUUCCUGGUGUAGUGGUGAAAUGCGUAGAGAUCAGGAGGAACACCGGUGGCGAAGGCGGCCCACUGGGCAGUCACUGACGCUGAGGCGCGAAAGCUCGGGGAGCGAACGGGAUUAGAUACCCCGGUAGUCC
RNAcentral lists this ribosomal RNA (292 nucleotides) under uncultured bacterium. RNAcentral's name for it is "partial 16S ribosomal RNA". It matches the Rfam family "Bacterial small subunit ribosomal RNA", at positions 505 to 796 of the family's 1533-position model. The record is from RNAcentral.